GUGCCUGUAGCUCAGGGGAUAGAGUAUUGAACUCCGGAUUCAAGGGUCACAGGUUCGAAUCCUGUCAGGCACACCA
Molecule: transfer RNA, 76 nt
Filed under: endosymbiont 'TC1' of Trimyema compressum
Lineage: Bacteria; Bacillati; Bacillota
Description: tRNA-Arg
Rfam family: tRNA
About the family: Transfer RNA (tRNA) molecules are approximately 80 nucleotides in length. Their secondary structure includes four short double-helical elements and three loops (D, anti-codon, and T loops).
Source: RNAcentral